Molecule: long non-coding RNA, 1784 nt
Filed under: Marmota monax (woodchuck)
Lineage: Eukaryota; Metazoa; Chordata; Mammalia; Rodentia; Sciuridae
Source: RNAcentral
UAGUUUCUAUAAAAAAUUUAUUGUAUUUACUAUUAUUAUUUUAAUUGUACAUGUUUGGGUACAGUGUGAUACUGCACCAUAUCACACAGUGUAUGAUGAUCAAAACAGGGUCGUUAGCAAUUCCAUCUCCUUAAAUUUAAAAAUUGUUUAUUAACACAUAAUUGUUGCACAUAUUUAUGAGGUACAGUAUGACUAUUUCUACAGAACUUUCUAUUCUAACCAGGUUUAUUCCUGAAACACUCGUCUCAAAAUCAACACAGACUGUGUCUACACUGAUAGACACAGUAACAUUAGAUGCACAUCCAUAGCAGUCGUGUGCCUGAACCCUCACCUGCAUGGCCAGGUGCCUGCACCUGUAGUGCUGGGAAUGGGAAAAUGAGUUCCAGCCUUCCUGGAAUCACUAAGGAAGGAAUGACUCUUUGUUUGAAUGGUAAAGUUGGAAAGGCGUGAUGUCGAUCCAGAAAACAAGGAACUAUUUGAGCUGCAUAUUAAAAUGUAAGUAGGAGUCCUGCCAACAGAAUGGGAGGACUGGUAUGUCAUGACCUGUUUGAAAGGUCUAGUUCAAGUCUUCUGGAACAGAAUCUGUGGACAAAACUCCAGAUAAACUAUAGGCGAAGGCUGGAUGGAUCACCAAGGUCGUUGCAUGAAAUGAAACUGUGUUUGUACUUUGUCCUUCUAGGAAUGGGGAAGCCACUAAAAACUUGAAAAGGGCUUAACAUCAUUAGUUGCACUUCAGAAAGAUCACUAUAUACCAUAGAGAUGAAUCUGAUGGUGAGAAGCAAAGGAUAAAGGAAGGUUGGAAAGCCUUAAAGAUAUUUAAGAAGACAGUUGCAAUAUCCUAGGACACAGACAACAAAUUUGCAAAUGAAGGUCAUUGCAUGGGAGUUACAGAGGAAAGAGGAGAAAUAAUGAAUAUCCAGGGCAGAAUUAACCAACAGAAUGAGUAUAGAGGGAAAAGAAAGCUUUUAGGAUGGGACAUCUAGGAUUCCUUCCACCUGGAUGACUUAAAGGACAAUGCUAUUAAGCAGAAUAGAAAGUUCUAUAGAAGGAACAGAAUUUUUAACCAAAACAAAACCAGAAAGUGUAGUCUAUACAUUGUAAGUUGUUUACAAUAAUCUCAGUUGCUAAGGGAUGCAGCGUGUUGUUUUAGUUUCAGGGCACACAAAUGUAGUUAUGAAAAGCAUAACUUUGUGCAGAGAGAAGGGAAAGGAAGGUAUCUCCCUGCUUCUUUGAAAAGGAUUGUUUUCAUUUUUUUGUGGAACAUGGGAUGGAGACCACAUGUGCUAGGUGCGCUAUCACUGAGCUGCAUCCCUAGUCCUAUUCGUUUUAUAGUUUAAGACAGAGUAUUGCUAAAUUGCCCAGGCUAGCCUGGGACUUGUGAUCCUUCUGCUUAGCUGGAAUUAUAGGUGUGCGUCACCGCACCUGACUAAAAAGUUAAUUUUUAAAUAAAGCUUUUGAUGUGGUUAACACAGUUGUGGAGGACAGUCACACCAGUUCUCCCUGAAGCAGAAGGAACAGCACCUGGAUCCUUGCUGACCUGAGCCCAGUGCCUUCUUCCUUCUCCAAGCAGAGCUGCUUUUCCUGCUCACAGUGAUCUACCUGGGCUCUAUUUUCUUUAAACAUUUGUUCAACAAGGACUUGGGUUUUAAAAAACUGUUGAAAUAUGAUGUCUUUAGUAUUUUAAUAAUGAGUUACAUUUAAUGUCUUAUGACAAUAAAAAAGUGUAUGAUUCUGAUGUUAUUUUCACACCAUAGUUUAUGUGUCUGUGGAAGCAUGUAAGAAAU